Molecule: small nuclear RNA, 330 nt
Filed under: Chinchilla lanigera (long-tailed chinchilla)
Lineage: Eukaryota; Metazoa; Chordata; Mammalia; Rodentia; Chinchillidae
Description: 7SK RNA (ENSCLAG00000022141.1)
Rfam family: 7SK RNA
About the family: 7SK was discovered as an abundant small nuclear RNA in the mid-70s but a possible function has only recently been suggested. Two independent studies have found that 7SK RNA binds the CDK9/cyclin T complex (known as elongation factor P-TEFb).
Source: RNAcentral
GGGUGUGAGGGCGAUCUGGCUACGACAUCUGUCACCCAACUGAUCGCCAGGGUUGAUUCGGCUGAUCUGGCUGGCUAGGCAGGUGUCCCCUUCCUCCCUCAACGCUCCACGUGUGUCCCUCCCGAAGCUGCGCGCUCUGUGGAAGAGGAUGACCAUCCCCGGUGGAGGAAGACCGGUCCUCGGUCACGGGUAUGCGAGUAGCUGCGCUCCCCUGCUAGAACUUCCAAACAAGCUCUCAAGGUAAAAAAUAGUACUAAUAUUAGCCAGGUGUAGUGAGCAUGCCUCUAAACAGCUACUCAAGAGGCUGUGGCAGGAGGAUCAUAAGUUUGA